CGAGAGUAGAGGAGAAAGUUGGAAGGGCGCUAUUGUUGCUUCCUCUCUGCAAUGACAGAAAUUUGACACGUAUCUUGGUUGGUUAACUUGGAUGGAAGUGACUCUGCAAUUGGUGCUUGCAGCCAUUGAGGUGGUGAUUCCAGUCACUCUUGCCGAGUUACAGCUUCAUUCGGAAGAAGAACAGGGGAGAAUGCUUGCAAUACUGUUGUUAUGAUUCUCAACAUUUUCAGCAGGUAUGUUUGUCUUUUAUUUAUUUUUUACCUUUCCU
Solanum stenotomum is the source of this 268-nucleotide long non-coding RNA. RefSeq lists it as uncharacterized. NCBI's taxonomy places the organism in Eukaryota, Viridiplantae, Streptophyta, Magnoliopsida, Solanales, Solanaceae. The record is from RefSeq and is a predicted model, not a curated record. The transcript has 3 exons.